This 403-nucleotide ribosomal RNA is filed under the name uncultured bacterium. RNAcentral's name for it is "partial 16S ribosomal RNA". It matches the Rfam family "Bacterial small subunit ribosomal RNA", at positions 28 to 526 of the family's 1533-position model. The record is from RNAcentral.
GACGAACGCUGGCGGCGUGCCUAAUACAUGCAAGUCGAACGCAGUGGGGACGGGUGAUUAACACGUGGGUAACCGGCCAUCAGAGGGGAUAACACUUGGAAACAGGUGCUAAACCGAUACUGAUGGAUGGACGCGGGGGGCAUUAGCUAUGUGGUGAGGGAACGGCUCACCAAGGCGACGAUGCAUAGCUGGGCUGAGAGGGUGAUCGGCCACACUGGGACUGAGACACGGCCCAGACUCCUACGGGAGGCAGCAGUGGGGAAUAUUGGACAAUGGGCGCAAGCCUGACGCAGCAAGGCCGCGUGUAUGAAGAAGGUUUUCGGAUUGUAAAGCACUUUUAGUGGAGAAGCGGUACCUACAGAAAAAGCCACGGCUAACUCCGUGCCAGCAGCCGCGGUAAUUC